Molecule: ribosomal RNA, 695 nt
Filed under: uncultured bacterium
Lineage: Bacteria
Description: bacterial SSU rRNA
Rfam family: Bacterial small subunit ribosomal RNA
Source: RNAcentral
AGAGUUUGAUCCUGGCUCAGAACGAACGCUGGCGGCAGGCUUAAUACAUGCAAGUCGAACGGCUGUAGCAAUACAGCAGUGGCAGACGGGUGAGUAACACGUGGGAACCUACCUAGGGGUACGGAAUAACUCAGGGAAACUUGUGCUAAUACCGUAUACGACCUCAGGGUGAAAGAUUUAUCGCCCCUAGAUGGGCCCGCGCUGGAUUAGCUAGUUGGUGGGGUAAAAGCCUACCAAGGCGACGAUCCAUAGCUGGUCUGAGAGGAUGAUCAGCCACACUGGGACUGAGACACGGCCCAGACUCCUACGGGAGGCAGCAGUAGGGAAUCUUGGACAAUGGGCGAAAGCCUGAUCCAGCCAUGCCGCGUGAGUGAUGAAGGCCUUAGGGUUGUAAAGCUCUUUCGCCAGGGAAGAUAAUGACGGUACCUGGAUAAGAAGCCCCGGCUAACUUCGUGCCAGCAGCCGCGGUAAUACGAAGGGGGCUAGCGUUGUUCGGAAUUACUGGGCGUAAAGCGCACGUAGGCGGCAUUCCAAGUUGGAGGUGAAAUCCCCGGGCUUAACCUGNGAACUGCCUCCAAAACUGGAAAGCUCGAGUCCGAGAGAGGUGAGUGGAAUUUCCAGUGUAGAGGUGAAAUUCGUAAAUAUUGGAAAGAACACCAGUGGCGAAGGCGGCUCACUGGCUCGGUACUGACGCU